RNAcentral lists this ribosomal RNA (468 nucleotides) under uncultured bacterium. Its description in RNAcentral is "partial 16S ribosomal RNA". It matches the Rfam family "Bacterial small subunit ribosomal RNA", at positions 28 to 507 of the family's 1533-position model. The record is from RNAcentral.
GAUGAACGCUGGCGGCGUGCUUAACACAUGCAAGUCGAACGGUGAAGGCGGAGCUUGCUCUGCUGGAUCAGUGGCGAACGGGUGAGUAACACGUGAGCAAUCUGCCCCUGACUCUGGGAUAAGCGCUGGAAACGGCGUCUAAUACUGGAUACGAGCUGCGAAGGCAUCUUCAGCAGCUGGAAAGAACUUCGGUCAGGGAUGAGCUCGCGGCCUAUCAGCUUGUUGGUGAGGUAACGGCUCACCAAGGCGUCGACGGGUAGCCGGCCUGAGAGGGUGACCGGCCACACUGGGACUGAGACACGGCCCAGACUCCUACGGGAGGCAGCAGUGGGGAAUAUUGCACAAUGGGCGAAAGCCUGAUGCAGCAACGCCGCGUGAGGGACGACGGCCUUCGGGUUGUAAACCUCUUUUAGCAGGGAAGAAGCGAAAGUGACUGUACCUGCAGAAAAAGCGCCGGCUAACUACGUG